RNAcentral lists this ribosomal RNA (497 nucleotides) under uncultured bacterium. RNAcentral describes it as "bacterial SSU rRNA". It matches the Rfam family "Bacterial small subunit ribosomal RNA", at positions 903 to 1397 of the family's 1533-position model. The record is from RNAcentral.
AAAUGAAUAGACGGGGGCCCGCACAAGCGGUGGAGUAUGUGGUUUAAUUCGAUGCAACGCGAAGAACCUUACCUGGGUUUGACAUCCCGCGAAUCCUCCCGAAAAGGAGGAGUGCCCUUCGGGGAGCGCGGUGACAGGUGCUGCAUGGCUGUCGUCAGCUCGUGCCGUGAGGUGUUGGGUUAAGUCCCGCAACGAGCGCAACCCUUGUCUUUAGUUGCCAGCGAGUAAUGUCGGGCACUCUAGAGAGACCGCCUCGGUCAACGGGGAGGAAGGUGGGGACGACGUCAAGUCAUCAUGGCCCUUACGCCCAGGGCUACACACGUACUACAAUGGUGGGUACAAUGGGCUGCGAGACCGCAAGGUGGAGCCAAUCCCAAAAAACCCAUCCCAGUCCGGAUCGGGGUCUGCAACUCGACCCCGUGAAGUCGGAAUCGCUAGUAAUCGGAGAUCAGCAUGCUCCGGUGAAUACGUUCCCGGGCCUUGUACACACCGCCCGU